UUUUGGACUGCCGAUGAAAUUUAAUAAUUUGCUUUGAGUAAAAGCGUAUGCUUCGCUGCCACUGCUUUAUAGACGAAUAACAUCGUCUACCUAGGUCAGGAAGUUGCGACAUCAGAAGAAAAGCAAUUACUAAAAACGAGAUGCCCGCAGAGAGGAAACUGGUAGCGUAUCUGAUCAUUUCUGUCCUGUGCGCAAUAAGCCCAGCUGUGAAUGCAUCUUCGGGAGGACGAUGGUAUAGGAGUGACUGCUGGAGAUCUGACUGCCGUGGGGGCGAUUGUCCACUUCCUUGCCAGUGCCCUGGAAUUAUUCAGCGCUUCUUUGGACGCUACACUUGUUAUUGAUGGAGAUCCCAGUUGGAACUUAUAGGAGGUCCAAGUAAACGUUGUUGCAAAAAUUC
Dermacentor andersoni is the source of this 397-nucleotide long non-coding RNA. RefSeq lists it as uncharacterized. The record is from RefSeq and is a predicted model, not a curated record. Lineage: Eukaryota; Metazoa; Arthropoda; Arachnida; Ixodida; Ixodidae.